Molecule: transfer RNA, 72 nt
Filed under: Toxocara canis (dog roundworm)
Lineage: Eukaryota; Metazoa; Nematoda; Chromadorea; Rhabditida; Toxocaridae
Rfam family: tRNA
About the family: Transfer RNA (tRNA) molecules are approximately 80 nucleotides in length. Their secondary structure includes four short double-helical elements and three loops (D, anti-codon, and T loops).
Source: Rfam by way of RNAcentral
GGGGAUAUAGGUCAGGGGUAGGGCGUUCCCUUAUCACGGGAGAGGGCUGGGGUUCAAUUCCCCAUAUCUCCA